RNAcentral lists this long non-coding RNA (812 nucleotides) under Rosa chinensis. RNAcentral's name for it is "sRNA RchiOBHm_Chr6g0277481". Lineage: Eukaryota; Viridiplantae; Streptophyta; Magnoliopsida; Rosales; Rosaceae. The record is from RNAcentral.
CAGAACUGGGUUCUCACUUGCAAUGACAAGGUUAUUCCAGCUUGAAUCUGUCACCACUUGAACUGCAUGAUUCACAUGAUUCGGUUAGCUCUACAAAUUGACAAGCUCUAGAUAUUACUUGAUUCCUAUGUACAUUAAACAAGCAGAAGUACUUGGUAGUUCAUACUGUUGCAUUAGUGAGAGCACAAUAGCAAUUAAUCAAAAACAAACAAAAAAGAGCAGGGAUUGUGCAGCUGAUUUUACCUUGAUCCACAGCUUCACGAGCUUUGCAAACAAAGCCGGAUUUCUGGAACCGAGUGCUUUUCGGAAGGGCGACGAAGGAUGAAGAUGAGGAGAACUUCAAACCAGACUUCCUCAAUCCAUUACAAGUUGGCACAAUAAGCUUCUCUUUAGAAGAAAAUGGCUGGUAGCAUUGUGCAGCACCAACCCUAGUACUGCACACUGUGCUUAGUUGCAAGCAGUUUUCCAAAGCCAUUAUCUCUUUAUCUUGCUGCUACCACACACUUUUGGUAUAGUGAAUUGGUUGUUGAAAAAGAGGCUGUAUACCCUUUUGUUUUGUGAUGCCAAUUUUUUUGUGCAAGACUUGAUGCAAGUUUUUCCUCUUUUGAUGAUUUUCCUAUUUUGCAAGGUUGUAAAUUUAACUACGUUGGAAGAGUGGAUAUUAUGACACUAGAUUGUAAGGUGCUUAGUGUGCUGGGAUGUAUGUGGAUAAUAUUUGUGUACUGACCUGUCAAUAUGCCCCACCUGGUGUCCUCAGGAAAUUGUCCCAACUCUCAAAUUUUCAAUGCAAGAAAAGAUCCAAAUGAAGGACC